AUUGAACGCUGGCGGCAUGCCUUACACAUGCAAGUCGAACGGUAACAGGUCUUCGGAUGCUGACGAGUGGCGAACGGGUGAGUAAUACAUCGGAACGUGCCCGAUCGUGGGGGAUAACGCAGCGAAAGCUGUGCUAAUACCGCAUACGAUCUACGGAUGAAAGCGGGGGAUCUUCGGACCUCGCGCGGACGGAGCGGCCGAUGGCAGAUUAGGUAGUUGGUGGGGUAAAGGCUCACCAAGCCUGCGAUCUGUAGCUGGUCUGAGAGGACGACCGGCCACACGGGGGCUGAGACACGGCCCAGACUGCUACGGGAGGCAGCAGUGGGGAAUUUUGGACAAUGGGCGCAAGCCUGAUCCAGCCAUGCCGCGUGCAGGAUGAAGGCCUUCGGGUUGUAAACUGCUUUUGUACGGAACGAAAAGUCUCUUUCUAAUAAAGAGGGAUCAUGACGGUACCGUAAGAAUAAGCACCGGCUAACUACGUGCCAGCCGCCGCCGUAA
This 498-nucleotide ribosomal RNA is filed under the name uncultured bacterium. Its description in RNAcentral is "partial 16S ribosomal RNA". It matches the Rfam family "Bacterial small subunit ribosomal RNA", at positions 30 to 523 of the family's 1533-position model. The record is from RNAcentral.